This is a long non-coding RNA of Pezoporus occidentalis (night parrot), 263 nucleotides long. RefSeq lists it as uncharacterized. The transcript has 3 exons. Lineage: Eukaryota; Metazoa; Chordata; Aves; Psittaciformes; Psittacidae. The record is from RefSeq and is a predicted model, not a curated record.
CAAGGACCCACAGCGUGAGGAGCUGCCCCACGAGCGGGACACGGUGACGCUGUGGCUGCAUACCAUGACCGCCGUGGCCAUCAUCAGCCUCGCCCCCUACCUCCUCCUCCUCCUCCUCCCCUUGGAUUCGGCCUCACCACGCAACCAAGACCUCCUCAAGCUCCUCCUCGCCUUCGCCGCGGGGGGAUUGUUGGGCGAUGCCUUCCUCCACCUCAUCCCCCACGCCUUGGCACCGCACGCGCCCGGCGCCCAUGCGCACUCGC